UACGGAGGGGGCUAGCGUUGUUCGGAAUUACUGGGCGUAAAGCGCACGUAGGCGGCUUUGUAAGUUAGAGGUGAAAGCCCGGGGCUCAACUCCGGAAUUGCCCUUAAGACUGCAUCGCUCGAAUUGUGGAGAGGUAAGUGGAAUUCCGAGUGUAGAGGUGAAAUUCGUAGAUAUUCGGAAGAACACCAGUGGCGAAGGCGGCUCACUGGCCCGAUACUGACGCUGAGGCACGAAAGCGUGGGGAGCAAACAGG
Molecule: ribosomal RNA, 253 nt
Filed under: uncultured bacterium
Lineage: Bacteria
Description: partial 16S ribosomal RNA
Rfam family: Bacterial small subunit ribosomal RNA
Source: RNAcentral